GAGGCCGUAGCUCAGUCGGCAGAGCACCUGGUUGUGGUCCAGGAAGUCGCGGGUUCGAAUCCCGUCGGUCUCC
RNAcentral lists this transfer RNA (73 nucleotides) under Phycisphaeraceae bacterium. Its description in RNAcentral is "tRNA-His". It matches the Rfam family "tRNA". From Rfam's summary of the family: Transfer RNA (tRNA) molecules are approximately 80 nucleotides in length. Their secondary structure includes four short double-helical elements and three loops (D, anti-codon, and T loops). Lineage: Bacteria; Pseudomonadati; Planctomycetota; Phycisphaerae; Phycisphaerales; Phycisphaeraceae. The record is from RNAcentral.